Molecule: ribosomal RNA, 464 nt
Filed under: uncultured organism
Description: SSU rRNA
Rfam family: Eukaryotic small subunit ribosomal RNA
Source: RNAcentral
CGGAGAAAGAGCCUGAAAAACGGCUACCACAUCCAAGGAAGGCAGCAGGCGCGUAAAUUACCCAAUCCUGAUACAGGGAGGUAGUGACAAUAAAUAACAAUGCCGGGCCAUCAUUGGUCUGGCAAUUGGAAUGAGAACAAUUUAAAUCCCUUAUCGAGGAUCAAUUGGAGGGCAAGUCUGGUGCCAGCAGCCGCGGUAAUUCCAGCUCCAAUAGCGUAUAUUAAAGUUGUUGCAGUUAAAAAGCUCGUAGUUGGAUUUGUGGCGCACGGUGUGUUCCGGGCACUUGUUGUCUGAGUAACCUGCCGUUGCCAUCCUUGGGUGGAACCUGUGUGGCAUUAGUUGUCGUGCAGGGGAUGCCCAUCAUUUACUGUGAAAAAAUUAGAGUGUUCAAAGCAGGCUUAUGCCCGUUGAAUAUAUUAGCAUGGAAUAAUAAGAUAGGACUUGUUUGCUUUUUGUGGUUGCGC